Molecule: unclassified non-coding RNA, 368 nt
Filed under: soil metagenome
Description: partial contains 5.8S ribosomal RNA, internal transcribed spacer 2, and large subunit ribosomal RNA
Rfam family: 5.8S ribosomal RNA (bases 1-120)
Source: RNAcentral
GAUGAAGAACGUAGCGAAAUGCGAUAAGUAAUGUGAAUUGCAGAAUUCAGUGAACCAUCGAAUCUUUGAACGCACAUUGCGCCCGGCAGUAAUCUGCCGGGCAUGCCUGUCCGAGCGUCAUUUCUGCCCUCGAGCGAGUCCAGCAUCUAGGUGCUGGGCCCGCCCGGCGUUGGGGCACUACGGGAAGCCCUGUGCUGUCCCCCGUAGGCCCCGAAAUGAAGUGGCGGUGCUGCCGCGGCGCCCCCUGCGUAGUAUAACAGCUCGCUUCGGGACCCGGUGGAGGCCUGCCGUCAAACCUUACUCUCUAAGUUUGACCUCGGAUCAGGUAGGGUUACCCGCUGAACUUAAGCAUAUCAAUAAGCGGAGGA